GUCUAUGGCCAUAUCAUCCUGAACCUGACUGAUCUCACCUGGUCUUGGAAGCUAAGCAGGGUUGGGACUGGUUUAGUACUUGGAUGGGAGUCCUGCUAAUGGAUUAUGAAUUUUGUUUAUG
Bos taurus (domestic cattle) is the source of this 121-nucleotide non-coding RNA. The record is from Rfam. NCBI's taxonomy places the organism in Eukaryota, Metazoa, Chordata, Mammalia, Artiodactyla, Bovidae.